GCCACCUGGACGUUUUUGGGAAUUGUUCCUGAUGUCCUGUUCAUUUUAAAUUUGUUCUUUUCAAAAUGAAAUUAAAAGAAACGUUCAUGAAGUUCUUGUGAGGUCUUCUGUCUCAGCUGAGGGGGUUUGGGUGACCAGGAUGGCAGCACUCAGUAGUACAGAAGAUUCAUGGGGGUCCCACCGUCAGGCACAAGCGAUACACCCGGAUUGAUGGUGUGCACUCAAUGAGUAAGGUGGGCAUCAGUAGGCAGACGGACAGAUGGAGAUUUAGAGGAUGAAACCAGAGCUGCCCGUGGGAUGAGGAGAGCCAGAGCCGCGUCUUUACUUGUCAGGUUGGAGCCACCGGGAUGUCUUUGGGAAUUGUUCCUGAUGUUAUGUUCAUUUUAAAUUUGUUCUUUUCAAAAUUUAAGUAAAAAGAAAUGUUCAUAAAGUUCUUGCGAGAUCUUCGGCCUUAUCUGAGAGGGUUUGGGUGACCGGCUGUUUACUUGGUAGGACGACAGCACCCAGUAAUACAGGAGAUUCACGGGAGACCCACCAUCAGGCACCAGUGAUACACCUGGACUGAGUGAGGUGAAGAGUCCAUCGGCAGUAGAGGAGAGAACUUCACACUCAAGUCCAUUUGACCUGCGCCAGUAGGCCGGUGUGCCACUCUCUGGAUGCCCUGAUGACGUCAAAGCAUUCCAGCCGCAGGCCAGGCGUCCCCACGAGGCAGCUGUUGUGGUGUGCGCUAUCUGCAGAGUUUUGUCUUUAUUUUUAUUUUAUUUUGCUUGAGACAAAGCAAGAUGAACUUCAAUACAGGACACUUGGCAUGGCAGUUGUACCUCACUGGUCACACAAACAGUAACACAUGCCAAUGCCUCAGGCUGGUCACAUUUUCUUUUAUGCUUUUCCCUCCUGCUGCCAUUGCUCUUUAAUAAAUACU
Molecule: long non-coding RNA, 922 nt
Organism: Polypterus senegalus (gray bichir)
Lineage: Eukaryota; Metazoa; Chordata; Cladistia; Polypteriformes; Polypteridae
Exons: 3
Source: RefSeq, a predicted model, not a curated record